Molecule: transfer RNA, 77 nt
Filed under: Bradyrhizobium sp. Kus-5
Lineage: Bacteria; Pseudomonadati; Pseudomonadota; Alphaproteobacteria; Hyphomicrobiales; Nitrobacteraceae
Description: tRNA-Ile
Rfam family: tRNA
About the family: Transfer RNA (tRNA) molecules are approximately 80 nucleotides in length. Their secondary structure includes four short double-helical elements and three loops (D, anti-codon, and T loops).
Source: RNAcentral
GGGCUUGUAGCUCAGUUGGUUAGAGCGCGCGCUUGAUAAGCGUGAGGUCGGAAGUUCAAGUUUUCCCAGGCCCACCA